Molecule: ribosomal RNA, 2311 nt
Filed under: Vibrio vulnificus
Lineage: Bacteria; Pseudomonadati; Pseudomonadota; Gammaproteobacteria; Vibrionales; Vibrionaceae
Description: 16S ribosomal RNA
Rfam family: Bacterial small subunit ribosomal RNA (bases 1099-2311)
Source: RNAcentral
AGACCUUUGCAGUGAAUUCGAAUGCACGGAGUAUAUACCUAACAAAUAGUCUGUUGCGAGUCAUGCUGUUAUCAAAGUGAGUAUUCGAAGUAGAGUGAGAGAGAGCAACUGAGAGAAAGCUUACAAAGGAAACGUUGCGAGUGCGUAUUGCUUGGUUAAACUAGUCUGGCACUAAAAGAAGGAGGGCGGUAUUCGUGCGUCAAAUAAAUAAAGAAGAAUAUAGAAAGAAAGGGAACAUGGUGAUAGUGGCGUUUCUACUGGCUUUUGCCUGUUCUGCCAUUGCAUUUAGUACAUUGUUGAUUGCCCUAUUUGGCAAUACAGACAUUGUUGAAGGCGAAUCAACGGGAAACUUCGUUUGGAACCUAAUUGGAGUAGUUAUUGCUCUUGUCAGUACGCUUUCAAUUUUGAAUCAAAUAAAGACGCAUCGCUAUUUUGAUGAGCUUUUGUAUGUAUGGAAGCUUAAACAGACUCAUUUAAAGAUCUAUCGUAAAGUGAAUAUCCUUAAACAUGCUGCUCAUAACGAACACAAUGAGAGAGCAAUGACCAUUCUUAAGUUUUACUAUCAAACUCAGCAGCAAGUGUACGAGUUAGACAACAAUACACUGACAAUAAAGAGUGUAUUGAAUGAGCUGGAAAGGAUUCGUCAGUGGGAACAAAACCACAGAGUGCUCAAUGCAUCCGAUUUCCAAGCUGUUUGGUUGAACGAUUUCUGACGAAAACAGAUGCUUUUUUUUAACAUGGAACCAAGAAAAAUAACCCUUUGAUUGUUUCUUGCGCGAACGAACGGUUUUGUGACAUUUUUUAUCGAAAAGCACUUGCCAAAGAAACUUCGUUCCCUAUAAUGCGCACCCACCGACACGGCAGACAGCGUAAGGCUUCAGCAAGGUCGGGUGAGGUAAAAACUUCUGAGAAAAUAAAUUUGAAAAAGUGUUUGACUCUUCAAAUUAACUCGCUAGAAUGCACCUCCGCUUUGAGAGAAAAACUUCUCGAAAAGCAANNNNNNNNNNNNNNNNNNNNNNNNNNNNNNNNNNNNNNNNNNNNNNNNNNNNNNNNNNNNNNNNNNNNNNNNNNNNNNNNNNNNNNNNNNNNNNNNNNNNNNNNNNNNAAUACCGCAUGAUGCCUACGGGCCAAAGAGGGGGACCUUCGGGCCUCUCGCGUCAGGAUAUGCCCAGGUGGGAUUAGCUAGUUGGUGAGGUAAGGGCUCACCAAGGCGACGAUCCCUAGCUGGUCUGAGAGGAUGAUCAGCCACACUGGAACUGAGACACGGUCCAGCCUCCUACGGGAGGCAGCAGUGGGGAAUAUUGCACAAUGGGCGCAAGCCUGAUGCAGCCAUGCCGCGUGUGUGAAGAAGGCCUUCGGGUUGUAAAGCACUUUCAGUUGUGAGGAAGNUGCAGGUGGUUUGUUAAGUCAGAUGUGAAAGCCCGGGGCUCAACCUCGGAACUGCAUUUGAAACUGGCAGACUAGAGUACUGUAGAGGGGGGUAGAAUUUCAGGUGUAGCGGUGAAAUGCGUAGAGAUCUGAAGGAAUACCGGUGGCGAAGGCGGCCCCCUGGACAGAUACUGACACUCAGAUGCGAAAGCGUGGGGAGCAAACAGGAUUAGAUCCCCUGGUAGUCCACGCUGUAAACGAUGUCUACUUGGAGGUUGUGGCCUUGAGCCGUGGCUUUCGGAGCUAACGCGUUAAGUAGACCGCCUGGGGAGUACGGUCGCAAGAUUAAAACUCAAAUGAAUUGACGGGGGCCCGCACAAGCGGNCCUUACCUACUCUUGACAUCCAGAGAAGCCAGCGGAGACGCAGGUGUGCCUUCGGGAACUCUGAGACAGGUGCUGCAUGGCUGUCGUCAGCUCGUGUUGUGAAAUGUUGGGUUAAGUCCCGCAACGAGCGCAACCCUUAUCCUUGUUUGCCAGCGAGUAAUGUCGGGAACUCCAGGGAGACUGCCGGUGAUAAACCGGAGGAAGGUGGGGACGACGUCAAGUCAUCAUGGCCCUUACGAGUAGGGCUACACACGUGCUACAAUGGCGCAUACAGAGGGCGGCCAACUUGCGAAAGUGAGCGAAUCCCAAAAAGUGCGUCGUAGUCCGGAUUGGAGUCUGCAACUCGACUCCAUGAAGUCGGAAUCGCUAGUAAUCGUGGAUCAGAAUGCCACGGUGAAUACGUUCCCGGGCCUUGUACACACCGCCCGUCACACCAUGGGAGUGGGCUGCAAAAGAAGUGGGUAGUUUAACCUUCGGGAGGACGCUCACCACUUUGUGGUUCAUGACUGGGGNAGUCGUAACAAGGUAGCGCUAGGGGAACCUGGCGCUGGAUCACCU